UGGGGAAUAUUGGACAAUGGGGGGAACCCUGAUCCAGCCAUGCCGCGUGUGUGAAGAAGGCCUUAUGGUUGUAAAGCACUUUAAGCGAGGAGGAGGGUACUGGUAUUAAUACUACCAGGUACUGGACGUUACUCGCAGAAUAAGCACCGGCUAACUCUGUGCCAGCAGCCGCGGUAAUACAGAGGGUGCGAGCGUUAAUCGGAUUUACUGGGCGUAAAGCGUGCGUAGGCGGCUAAUUGAGUCGGAUGUGAAAUCCCCGAGCUUAACUGGGGAAUUGCAUUCGAUACUGGUUAGCUAGAGUGUGGGAGAGGAUGGUAGAAUUCCAGGUGUAGCGGUGAAAUGCGUAGAGAUCUGGAGGAAUACCGAUGGCGAAGGCAGCCAUCUGGCCUAACACUGACGCUGAGGUACGAAAGCAUGGGGAGCAAACAGG
This 430-nucleotide ribosomal RNA is filed under the name Pseudomonadota bacterium. Its description in RNAcentral is "Proteobacteria bacterium partial 16S ribosomal RNA". It matches the Rfam family "Bacterial small subunit ribosomal RNA", at positions 355 to 776 of the family's 1533-position model. Lineage: Bacteria; Pseudomonadati; Pseudomonadota. The record is from RNAcentral.